CGGAGAGUUUGAUCCUGGCUCAGAACGAACGUUGGCGGCGUGGAUUAGGCAUGCAAGUCGAACGAGAAAGCGUCCUUCGGGACGUGAGUAGAGUGGCGAACGGGUGAGUAACGCGUGGGGAACCUGCCCUUGAGUGGGGGAUAACGUUUCUAACGAGACGCUAAUACCGCAUGAUACUGAACACGGGCAUCCGAGUUCAGUCAAAGAUGGCCUCUGUCUCAAGCUGUCGCUUGGGGAUGGCCCCGCGUCCGAUUAGCUAGAUGGUGGGGUAACGGCCUACCAUGGCGACGAUCGGUAGCCGGCCUGAGAGGGUGUCCGGCCACACUGGGACUGAGAUACGGCCCAGACUCCUACGGGAGGCAGCAGUCGAGAGGCUUCCGCAAUGGGGGAAACCCUGACGGAGCGACGCCGCGUGGGUGAGGAAGGUCUUCGGAUCGUAAAACCCUGUCAGGAGGGACGAAAACCGGAUUGGCUAAUACCCUUUCCGCAUGACGGUACCUCCAGAGGAAGCUCCGGCUAACUCCGUGCCAGCAGCCGCGGUAACACGGAGGGAGCAAACGUUGUUCGGAAUUACUGGGCGUAAAGGGCGUGUAGGCGGUUUCCUAAGUCGGGGGUGAAAUCCAGUGGCUCAACCAUUGGCCUGCCUUCGAAACUGGGGAACUUGAGGCCGUGAGAGGAAAGCGGAAUUCCUGGUGUAUCGGUGAAAUGAGUUGAUAUCAGGAGGAACACCAGUGGCGAAGGCGGCUUUCUGGCGCGGUUCUGACGCUGAGGCGCGAAAGCAUGGGGAGCAAACGGGAUUAGAUACCCCGGUAGUCCAUGCUGUAAACGAUGAGAACUAGGUGUCGGGGGUAUCGACCCCCUCGGCGCCGCAGCUAACGCAUUAAGUUCUCCGCCUGGGGAGUACGGUCGCAAGGCUGAAACUCAAAGGAAUUGACGGGGGCCCGCACAAGCGGUGGAGCAUGUGGUUUAAUUCGAUGCAACGCGAAGAACCUUACCUGGGCUUGACAUAUACUCGAUAGCCGUGGAAACACGGUUUCUCCGCAAGGAGUGGGUAUACAGGUGCUGCAUGGCUGUCGUCAGCUCGUGUCGUGAGAUGUUGGGUUAAGUCCCGCAACGAGCGCAACCCUUAUCCUUAGUUGCCAGCGGGUUAUGCCGGGCACUCUAGGGAGACUGCCUGUGUUAAGCAGGAGGAAGGCGGGGAUGACGUCAAGUCAUCAUGGCCCUUACGCCCAGGGCUACACACGUGCUACAAUGGCCGGUACAAUGGGUUGCAAUGCCGCGAGGUGGAGCUAAUCCCAAAAGCCGGUCUCAGUUCGGAUUGGAGUCUGCAACUCGACUUCAUGAAGUCGGAAUCGCUAGUAAUCGCGUAUCAGCAUGACGCGGUGAAUACGUUCCCGGGCCUUGUACACACCGCCCGUCAAGCCACGAAAGUCGGGGGUACCCGAAGUCGUUGACCCAACCCGCAAGGGAGGGAUGCGCCGAAGGUAAAACUGAUGAUUGGGGCUAAGUCGUAACAAGGUAGCCGUACCGGAAGGUGCGGCUGGAUCACCUCCUUUCUA
This 1559-nucleotide ribosomal RNA is filed under the name bacterium. RNAcentral describes it as "bacterial SSU rRNA". It matches the Rfam family "Bacterial small subunit ribosomal RNA". The record is from RNAcentral.